GUGGAUUGCACCAGAAGUAGUUAGUCUAACCGCAAGGGGGACGAUUACCAUGGUGUGGUUCAUGACUGGGGUGAAGUCGUAACAAGGUAGCCGUAGGUGAACCUGCAGAAGGAUCA
Molecule: ribosomal RNA, 116 nt
Filed under: uncultured eukaryote
Lineage: Eukaryota
Description: partial small subunit ribosomal RNA
Rfam family: Bacterial small subunit ribosomal RNA
Source: RNAcentral